Molecule: ribosomal RNA, 432 nt
Filed under: uncultured bacterium
Lineage: Bacteria
Description: partial 16S ribosomal RNA
Rfam family: Bacterial small subunit ribosomal RNA
Source: RNAcentral
AACGAACGCUGGCGGCAUGCCUAACACAUGCAAGUCGAACGAGACCUUCGGGUCUAGUGGCGCAUGGGUGCGUAACGCGUGGGAACCUGCCCUUAGGUUCGGAAUAACUUCCCGAAAGGGGUGCUAAUACCGGAUAAUGUCUUCGGACCAAAGAUUUAUCGCCUUUGGCUGGGCCCGCGUUGGCUUAGCUAGUUGGUAGGGUAAAAGCCUACCAAGGUGACGCUCCAUAUCUUGUCUUAGAGGAUGAUCAGCCACACUGGGACUGAGACACGGCCCAGACUCCUACGGGAGGCAGCAGUGGGGAAGAUUGGACAAUGGGCGAAAGCCUGAUCCAGCAAUGCCGCGUGAGUGAUGAAGGCCUUAGGAUUGUAAAGCUCUUUUACCCGGGAUGAUAAUGACAGUACCGGGAGAAUAAGCUCCGGCUAACUCCGU